RNAcentral lists this ribosomal RNA (505 nucleotides) under uncultured Pseudomonadota bacterium. RNAcentral's name for it is "bacterial SSU rRNA". It matches the Rfam family "Bacterial small subunit ribosomal RNA", at positions 355 to 853 of the family's 1533-position model. The record is from RNAcentral. Lineage: Bacteria; Pseudomonadati; Pseudomonadota.
UGGGGAAUUUUGGACAAUGGGGGAAACCCUGAUCCAGCCAUCCCGCGUGUGCGAUGAAGGCCUUCGGGUUGUAAAGCACUUUUGGCAGGAAAGAAACGUCCCGGGAUAAUACCCCGGGAAACUGACGGUACCUGCAGAAUAAGCACCGGCUAACUACGUGCCAGCAGCCGCGGUAAUACGUAGGGUGCAAGCGUUAAUCGGAAUUACUGGGCGUAAAGCGUGCGCAGGCGGUUCGGAAAGAAAGAUGUGAAAUCCCAGAGCUUAACUUUGGAACUGCAUUUUUAACUACCGAGCUAGAGUGUGUCAGAGGGAGGUGGAAUUCCGCGUGUAGCAGUGAAAUGCGUAGAUAUGCGGAGGAACACCGAUGGCGAAGGCAGCCUCCUGGGAUAACACUGACGCUCAUGCACGAAAGCGUGGGGAGCAAACAGGAUUAGAUACCCUGGUAGUCCACGCCCUAAACGAUGUCAACUAGCUGUUGGGGCCUUCGGGCCUUGGUAGCGCAGCU